AUGACCUCGGGCAUCUCCUUGUAUGCUAAUGAUGUGGUCAUCUUCUGUCACCCUGACCCGCAUGAGCUCAUCGUCGCCCGUGAGCUGCUUCGCAUUUUUGGUGCUGCCUCCAGCCUUCACACAAACUUCCAGAAGUGCUCUGCCAUGCCUAUCCAGUGCUCUAACGCGCAACUGGUGCAUAUCGCGGGCACGCUCUCCUGCCCGAUCAUGCACUUCCCGAUCACCUACUUGGGCAUUCCCCUCUCGGUUCAGAAAGUCUCUGCGGCUGCUCUUAUGCCUCUGGUGGAGCGCAUGGCCCGCAAGCUUCCUACUUGGCGCGCUUCGCUUCUCUCCCGCGGCGAGAGGCUGGCCUUCGUCCGUCAUGUCCUCGCUGCUAUGCCCACCCACCUCCUCAUGGCCAUGGCUCUGCGGCCUUCCAUCCUCAAGAAGAUCAACCGCAUCAUGUGCGAGUUUCUUUGGCACGGCGGCAGCGAUUCCUCGGGCGGUGGCAAUCUUGUCAGCUGGCGCAAGGUGUGCCGCCCCCUGGAGUAUGGGGGCUUCGGCAUUCGGGACCUGCAGCUCACGCGCAUUGCUCUCCGCGCUCGCUGGCUUUAG
This 594-nucleotide ribosomal RNA is filed under the name Triticum aestivum (bread wheat). RNAcentral's name for it is "partial small subunit ribosomal RNA". The record is from RNAcentral. Lineage: Eukaryota; Viridiplantae; Streptophyta; Magnoliopsida; Poales; Poaceae.